Molecule: transfer RNA, 85 nt
Filed under: Methanoculleus thermophilus
Lineage: Archaea; Methanobacteriati; Methanobacteriota; Methanomicrobia; Methanomicrobiales; Methanomicrobiaceae
Description: tRNA-Leu
Rfam family: tRNA
About the family: Transfer RNA (tRNA) molecules are approximately 80 nucleotides in length. Their secondary structure includes four short double-helical elements and three loops (D, anti-codon, and T loops). Further hydrogen bonds mediate the characteristic L-shaped molecular structure. tRNAs have two regions of fundamental functional importance: the anti-codon, which is responsible for specific mRNA codon recognition, and the 3' end, to which the tRNAs corresponding amino acid is attached (by aminoacyl-tRNA synthetases). tRNAs cope with the degeneracy of the genetic code in two manners: having more than one tRNA (with a specific anti-codon) for a particular amino acid; and 'wobble' base-pairing, i.e. permitting non-standard base-pairing at the 3rd anti-codon position.
Source: RNAcentral
GCGAGGGUAGCUAAGCCUGGCCAAAGGCGCCGGACUUAAGAUCCGGUCCCGAAGGGGUCCGUGGGUUCGAAUCCCACCCCUCGCA